Molecule: small nuclear RNA, 107 nt
Organism: Nycticebus coucang (slow loris)
Lineage: Eukaryota; Metazoa; Chordata; Mammalia; Primates; Lorisidae
Source: RefSeq, a predicted model, not a curated record
GUGCUCACUUCGGCAGCACAUAUUGGAAAAUUGGAAGGAUACGGAGAAGAUUAGCAUGGUCCCUGAGCAAGGAUUAUAUGCAAAUUUGUGAAGUAUUCCAUAUUUUU